GGGUGAAAUGUAUGCUUUUUAAUUCGUAUAAUUUCAUAUGUUCUACUUGUCAUAGAAAUCCAUUCUAAAGUGAGCUACCCUUGGGGCACUGUUGUGGCAUUUUAACCAUUUACACGAGGUGAAUUGUCAAAACUAGUUUGGAGACUGGGCUAACGUUUGUCCCUCAUUUCUCCAUAUAAGAUUGCAUCAAGCGCCUUUUAGUGAAUAUGACCAUCGUAUAGAUUGACUAUGAGAAAUGAGAUCACUUAGAACUGGAGAAGAACGAGCCCUGUAUUCUGUUGCAAUUCGGAAAUCUCAUUAAACGAAUGAGAAGUGCUUGAUGUUCUUUUUAUCCUUGUAUAUAUGUAGAUAGAUUUCCAGAUGGGAUCUGAUAAUUAUGCAUCUUGUGCUUGACUUGUUCCUGGAUAUACUGUUGAUUUGUGGAGAAGGGACUGUUGCGAAGUAAUGGGAGAUUGGGAACUAAACCCUUUUAUAUUAGCGGGGGUGUUUAAUGUGGUGCUGAGUACCUGUGGAGGGCUUAGGUGCUUGAUGACAUGUUAAUUGGAAUCUUCAAAUCAUGUUUUCUUUUUUUCUUAUUCCUUUCACCUAUUUUUUUCUGUUGAUAUCUUGUUACGUAACAUGUAAAGAGGAUCCUUGUCACUGAGCCUACUUAUUGGCUAAGGCCCAGCUGCUGUUAUUGUUACAUUCCCCAAUCCCAUAUAAUAUAUUGAAUGAUUAUCAUGUAUUUUCCUGCAUUGCUAUCCAUGUUUAACCUCAGUAUUGUUCAAUUAUUGAUGUUGACCUUCAAGUUACUGUCAAAUACUACUCAAUGCUGAUGCAUCAUCUUGCUUCACUGUACCUAUUCCUCGCUUUGGCAAAGAUCUAUUAAGGCCAAUGAACUCACCCAAUGUAGCUUGUCUUGGACAAAUUAAGAAAACAUUAUAGAGCAGUUAAUACGGUUUAGCUUGUAUGCCAAUAUACUGAAUGCUCAGUUAUGCUUAUAUUGCAGGAGAUCACUGAGUUUUCGUGAAGUGUAUGUCGCACUGUGUUGUUUACCGGGCAAUGGAUGUUUGUGGGCUUCCUGGAGCAAUGUAGGCGGGUUGCAUUCACAUCAAGGGCCCUUUGAGGAAGCAGAGUACAUAGUCUUGUGUAUACUGUCACUGUAUAUAUCUGAUGAACACAGAUAGAAGCAGCUGUUUCUUUCUUUCAUUCUGUGAGUGCAGACUAGUUCCAACACCAAUUUUUUUGACUCCUGUACCUUAUAUCAGAAGGACCUGUCUUUUAUCCGCUGUUAGUUUAUGAAAGACCCCAAACAAUAUGCUUUUGGUCA
Molecule: long non-coding RNA, 1309 nt
Organism: Syzygium oleosum
Lineage: Eukaryota; Viridiplantae; Streptophyta; Magnoliopsida; Myrtales; Myrtaceae
Exons: 2
Source: RefSeq, a predicted model, not a curated record